This 714-nucleotide long non-coding RNA is filed under the name Citrus maxima (pomelo). Its description in RNAcentral is "long non-coding RNA (CMAX_LNC000678)". The record is from RNAcentral. Lineage: Eukaryota; Viridiplantae; Streptophyta; Magnoliopsida; Sapindales; Rutaceae.
UGGGUUUGGUAUUAACCUUAUAUCCGAUGGAUACCCGCAUGAAUAUCCACCAAACCCGCAAUAUUUUUUCUAAAUAUUUUUAAUUUAAUUUUAAUCUAAAAAUGUAGAAAGAAAAUAAUGUCAUUAUUCAAAUUACCAAAUAGCCAAAGACUCAAAGUUGUGUAUGUGUGUAUGUGGUCCAUCUCCCAUUCUAAAGUCAUAACCUAAAGAAAACUAAAGGCAUUUCCCUUCGAAUUAGUGUUUGAAAUAUUAAUCUUAAUUAUUAUUAUAGACAUUGUGUUGGAUGGGUGCUUAUGGUGGUGAAUGAAAUGAAUAUCUUCUCUUGGAGCUUGUUUUAAAUAAUAAUUUGAAAUGUAAUUAUUAUUUUUAGAUAUUAGUUUGUGUUUUUUAAAUGAAUUUGUGUAAUUUAUACUUAAAUUUGAGAAUUUGUGUUGGAUUGAUGUGGAAAUUUUAAUUUUUUAUUUAUAUUGUUUAAAUAUAAAAUUGAGUAUGUUAUAUGAAAUUUGAGGUUAUUAUUAUAAAUUUAUAUAUUAAAGAUUUGUGAUUUUAAAUACGGAAACCCGCAAAAAAUCCGUCGGGUACCAUUGCGGGUUUGGUAAUUGUUAAAACCCGCUGCGGGUGGAUUUUUUUAAAAAAAUUAAAACCCGCUGCGGGUUGCGGGUGGGUUUGGUAAUUUAAAUUUUGUGCGGGUUUGGGUUUGGUAAUGACAAACCC